UACGGGGGGGGCAAGCGUUGUUCGGAAUUACUGGGCGUAAAGGGCUCGUAGGCGGCCAACUAAGUCAGACGUGAAAUCCCUCGGCUUAACCGGGGAACUGCAUCUGAUACUGGAUGGCUAGAGAUUGGGAGAGGGAUGCGGAAUUCCAGGUGUAGCGGUGAAAUGCGUAGAUAUCUGGAGGAACACCGGUGGCGAAGGCGGCAUUCUGGACCGAUAUUGACGCUGAGGAGCGAAAGCCAGGGGAGCAAACGGG
Molecule: ribosomal RNA, 253 nt
Filed under: uncultured bacterium
Lineage: Bacteria
Description: partial 16S ribosomal RNA
Rfam family: Bacterial small subunit ribosomal RNA
Source: RNAcentral